This is a long non-coding RNA of Camellia sinensis, 2395 nucleotides long. RefSeq lists it as uncharacterized. Lineage: Eukaryota; Viridiplantae; Streptophyta; Magnoliopsida; Ericales; Theaceae. The record is from RefSeq and is a predicted model, not a curated record.
CUUGAACAGGAAUAAUAGAAAGGAAGUUUUCUAGAGGGUCUCUAAUACAAAAUUAGCAAACAUAUAAAGUAUUAAAACAAUAUUGUUUGAGUCAUUUAUCUCAUUAGGGACUUCAGCAAUUUCGAUAUCCAAACGCAACAUCUUCUUGAUAUGUUUGAAUGUUUGGCUACUUAUCUAUAAAAAAAAAAGUGACAAUAUUUUGAUUUUUUCGUUUCCUUUUUUUUGUUUUGUAUUUUUUUCCCCAAUAAGCAACAAAAAUUUAUUUUGCAUUUUCCCUUUUAUUUUUCUGCUUUUCUUUUUGUAUCUUCCUCUCCCUUUCAGUGGGUGUAGAGAUAUUACUUCCUUUAUCCAUUUUAUGUCUUAGUUGGCUUUGCACAAACUUUAAGAAAACAUCCUUGAAUGAUAGAUUUAAAAAAUGUCCUUCGUUUUGAAUAUUUUCAAUUUAUAGCCCAAUUUUUUCUUGGGGGCUUUUGGGAGCCCUUCAUCAUAAAACUUUAAUUACUUCUGUCAUACACAGAUAAAAAUAUCCAUUUAUCAAAUUUGUGUUCAUGAUUUUUAACUCCUAAUUCAAUCUUUAUCAAGAAAUAAAGAAGACAAGAAAUCUCGAUGGUUGCCUUGUGUCCUUGAUUUUGCAUACACAAUGGACUUGCGUCUUUCUCAUUGGGAGUAUAAUGAGCGAUUAUAGAGGAAGUGAAUAAAUUUGGUAACUCAUUCCAUUUGUUGGAGUUUUUUUCUUUGUGACUCAUUUUUUUUUAAAGUGUCUUGUACUUUUUCCAUUAUUUUAAUUUUUUAAAAUGUUCUAGUUUCAAGUGAAAAAGUUGUUACCACUUGUUAGGUUGAAAUUUUUGGUUCUAAAGAUGAAAACAGGAAGGUAGGUUUUUUCUGUGGAUCUUCUGGAGAGAUAUGCAACAAAGGGGCAUGGAGUUAUCACAUGCAUGGUUGCUGGCAAUGAUGUUAUUGUAUUAGGAACUAGUGAAUAAAAGUUUUACAUUGAUGGGUUGGUGAGUGCAUAGACUUGGUGGGUUUGUUUUUCUUACAUUAAUGUUUUGCUUUUUGACAUGAGGAUUUGUUUUUGUUACAUAGGAUUGUCUAACUAGAAACCCUCUGUCCGAUUUCAAGGUAUUUCUUUUAUUAUGUUUACACAAAUAUCUUUUAUAUAUGUAAUUUUCUAUCUGAUAAAUUUGUACCUCAGUCAUCUCUCUCUUUCACUAUUUCCCACCCACUAACCUCCCUUUGAAUUCACUGUUUGUGAGCUAAUUAGUCAUAUACUUGUGGACUCAAUGAUCAUAUAUAAAGUGAGUUGAUCACCAAGUGUUUGACAAAAUUACCAUGAAUCAGUAAUUUGUACUACAACAACAAAUUAUAGUUGUAAGACCAAGUUGAAAACUAUAGUUGAAAAUCUACUGAAGUUAUACACACAGGAGAAUGUACAACAUGGGCAAUUUUAAAUUUUAGUUAAUGAAUAAGACCAAAAAAGCUUUGCCCAGUUCAAAAGCUCCCUAUUAGAUUUAUUAUAUUCUAUUUCUAUUUCUUUGUUUGAAUGUAUGUAUUUGCCCUCGUUGAAUUCCAGGACUUUAUGUAGAUGAAAGUUGGAUUAAUUUUUCCUGUGUGUUAUUGUUGAAUACAUUGCUUCAACUUACUAGGUUUAUGUAGGGUGACUUAUAUUUUUUGGAAUUUUUUUCCCCUCACCAAUAAGAAAAUUUGAGAAUAGAUUUUGUGGUUGAUGGGCAGGGCACCAUAAAGAGCUCUCUCUCUCUCUCUUUCUGGAAGAGUGUGAAAUGCAUGCAUUUUGAUUCAUUUGAUUACACUAUAUUUUUCUUUUCUUGCUAAUUCAUUUGUCUUUAUUUUUUUGCCCAUCUUUUCCAUGAUCAAUAAUCUAUACCCAAAACUAACUGAAAAUGCCACUACAUUCAUGAACCAAUGUGAAAUAUAUAGUCAUGUAAAAUAACAAUCCCCAUCAAAUUAUGAAGGAACUUUUUGAUAUAGAUGCUGGUCUUAACUCAAAUUUGUCUAUUGUUGCGCAUGCUUAACAGGUUCUGCCCCUGGUGAGCUCUGCUGUGGAGGAAGAUCUCCCAUGGUGAACUUGCUUUACAAUUUGGAGAUUUGUUAAGGAAGCUAUGGGCUCCAAGAGCAACACCAGUAGCUCCAAGAGCGUUCAAAUCGAAACUUUCUGCUUUUGCACCUCAAUUUAGCGGCUAUAACCAGCAUGAUUCCCAAGAAUUUCUUACUCUUUUUUUGUAUGGGCUCCAUGAAGAUCUCAAUUGUGUGAAACAAUGUUUUCAAAACCGGACCGGUGAGCGAACCGGAAAAGGGACCGGGUGGACCGGUCACCGGUUCAACCGUCGGGUCAAAGCGGUCGAACUGUGGCGUCAUAAUUAAUAUUAUAUAAUUAAAA